Molecule: non-coding RNA, 142 nt
Organism: Myotis davidii
Lineage: Eukaryota; Metazoa; Chordata; Mammalia; Chiroptera; Vespertilionidae
Source: Rfam
AUUCCCACGGCUGCACUGAGAGAACCCAUCUUCCGUGGACUGGAAAUUCCUGGAGAGCUGCGUUUGUGAACAGCUGGCAGUAAUUUCCUAAGUCCCAUCUCUUCAUUUUCCUUUGUGUUGCAUUUUGGAACAUCCAGAAACC